UGCCACAAUGAUGACAGUUAUUUGCUACUCUCGACUGUGAGGGUGACGAGAAUUAUUACCACCAUUAUGCUAACUGAGGCA
Small nucleolar RNA from Kogia breviceps (pygmy sperm whale), 81 nucleotides. RefSeq annotates it as small nucleolar RNA SNORD24. Lineage: Eukaryota; Metazoa; Chordata; Mammalia; Artiodactyla; Physeteridae. The record is from RefSeq and is a predicted model, not a curated record. The transcript has a single exon.